This 364-nucleotide long non-coding RNA is filed under the name Callithrix jacchus (white-tufted-ear marmoset). RNAcentral describes it as "lncRNA (ENSCJAG00000059148.2)". The record is from RNAcentral. Lineage: Eukaryota; Metazoa; Chordata; Mammalia; Primates; Cebidae.
CAACAACAACAACUGCCUUGAGGCUGUGGGCGAAAGUGCUGAUUUGUCUUCCAACACACUGGAAGUAUAAAAGUGGCUAUAAAAAGAACAAGAGAAAUGGCAACAUCUGCUGGAGUAGCCAAAAUUGGGAAGAAGGUAUGGUGAGACACUCAAGCUGGCAGAGUGAAGAAUGCAGGAACCAGAACAGUCAAGGACUGGAGGUCAAGAGAAGAAUGCAUUUGCCAGACCAAUAGCUGCAUAUCAAGUGCCAGAGGAUGUGGUAAAUUGCUCAAGCAAUGAAACCGGUUCUGGUACCGGAGCUGCAAUUGGCAUCACCACCUGGGACUUUGCCAACAAUGUUGAACAGAGUGGUCUAAAUUUUUAG